This 408-nucleotide ribosomal RNA is filed under the name uncultured bacterium. RNAcentral's name for it is "partial 16S ribosomal RNA". It matches the Rfam family "Bacterial small subunit ribosomal RNA", at positions 28 to 526 of the family's 1533-position model. The record is from RNAcentral.
GACGAACGCUGGCGGCGUGCCUAAUACAUGCAAGUAGAACGCAGUUGCGAACGGGUGAGUAACGCGUAGGUAACCUGCCUCAUAGCGGGGGAUAACUAUUGGAAACGAUAGCUAAUACCGCAUACUGUGAGAUGGACCUGCGUUGUAUUAGCUAGUUGGUGAGGUAAAGGCUCACCAAGGCGACGAUCCAUAGCCGACCUGAGAGGGUGGUCGGCCACAAUUGGAAUUGAGCACGGCCCCAGCUUCCACGGGGAGGAGCAAUAGGGGAACUUCGGCAAAUGGCCGAAAGCCUGACGGGCAAAGCCGGGGGAGUGAAAAAAGGUUUCGGAUCGUAAAGCUCCGUUUGUAGAGGAACGGUAACUAACCAGAAAGGGACGGCUAACUACGUGCCAGCAGCCGCGGUAAUAC